CACUUGGUAGACUAUAUAACUUAAACAUCCACGGUGGAGACAUUAACACUUGGUAGACUAUAUAACUUAAACAUCCAUGGUGGAGACAUUAACACUUGGUAGACUAUAUAACUUAAACAUCCAUGGUGGAGACAUUAACACUUGGUAGACUAUAUAACUUAAACAUCCAUGGUGGAGACAUUAACACUUGGUAGACUAUAUAACUUAAACAUCCAUGGUGGAGACAUUAACACUUGGUAGACUAUAUAACUUAAACAUCCAUGGUGGUGACAUUAACACUUGGUAGACUAUAUAACUUAAACAUCCAUGGUGGAGACAUUAACACUUGGUAGACUAUAUAACUUAAACAUCCAUGGUGGUGACAUUCACUUUUUCAUAAUGUUUCCAAAUUGAUUGUUUUUUCUAGAAGCACCAGCUUGUUGUUGUUGUCGUCAUGGCUGUUCCUGUUGGGUAGCAACUUCACCAGCUUGUUGUUGUUGUUGUCGUCAUGGCUGUUCCUGUUGGGUAGCAACUUCACCAGCUUGUUGUUGUCGUCAUGGUUGUUCCUGUUGGGUAGCAACUUCACCAGCUUGUUGUUGUUGUCAUGGUUGUUCCUGUUGGGUAGCAACUUCACCAGCUUGUUGUUGUUGUCAUGAUUGUUCCUGUUGGGUAGUAACUUCACCAGCUUGUUGUUGUUGUUGUUGUCAUGGUUGUUCCUGUUGGGUAGUAACUUCACCAGCUUGUUCUUGUUGUUGUUGUCAUGGUUGUUCCUGUUGGGUAGUAACUUCACCAGCUUGUUGUUGUUGUUGUUGUCAUGGUUGUUCCUGUUGGGUAGUAACUUCACCAGCUUGUUGUUGUUGUCAUGGUUGUUCCUGUUGGGUAGUAACUUCACCAGCUUGUUGUUGUUGUCAUGGUUGUUCCUGUUGGGUAGUAACUUCACCAGCUUGUUGUUGUUGUCAUGGUUGUUCCUGUUGGGUAGUAACUUCACCAGCUUGUUGUUGUUGUCAUGGUUGUUCCUGUUGGGUAGCAACUUCACCAGCUUGUUGUUGUUGUCAUGGUUGUUCCUGUUGGGUAGCAACUUCACCAGCUUGUUGUUGUUGUCAUGGUUGUUCCUGUUGGGUAGCAACUUCACCAGCUUGUUGUUGUUGUUGUUGUCAUGGUUGUUCCUGUUGGGUAGUAACUUCACCAGCUUGUUGUUGUUGUCAUGGUUGUUCCUGUUGGGUAGUAACUUCAC
Molecule: long non-coding RNA, 1213 nt
Filed under: Salmo salar (Atlantic salmon)
Lineage: Eukaryota; Metazoa; Chordata; Actinopteri; Salmoniformes; Salmonidae
Description: lncRNA (ENSSSAG00000103890.1)
Source: RNAcentral